GUGCUCGCUUCGGCAGCACAUAUACUAAAAAAUUGGAACGAUACAGAGAAGAUUAGCAUGGCCCCUGCGCAAGGGUGACAUGCAAAUUCAUGAGAUCUGACACCCUCGU
RNAcentral lists this small nuclear RNA (109 nucleotides) under Meriones unguiculatus (Mongolian gerbil). The record is from RNAcentral. Lineage: Eukaryota; Metazoa; Chordata; Mammalia; Rodentia; Muridae.